AGGACUUCCAGGGAGAAUCCUGACUACAAAAACUGCCCCAUUCUCUCACGAGCUCUCUAAAUGGUGGCUUCUGUGCCAUCUGUGCACCUGCAUGAUCCUCGCACUGCUUUCCGUGGCUACCUGAUACUGAUGCAAUUACAGCCCUUCAGCAAGACGCCUCAGGGAUGGCAGAUACUGACAGAGAGACGACCAAAAGACAGAAAACCCAAAAGCACUAAAGUCAGCAGAGGGGCCAGACAUCUCAGAAAAUGGGCUUCACCUGCUUUACAGAGAG
Long non-coding RNA from Fukomys damarensis (Damara mole-rat), 274 nucleotides. RefSeq lists it as uncharacterized. The transcript has 3 exons. Lineage: Eukaryota; Metazoa; Chordata; Mammalia; Rodentia; Bathyergidae. The record is from RefSeq and is a predicted model, not a curated record.